RNAcentral lists this ribosomal RNA (460 nucleotides) under uncultured bacterium. Its description in RNAcentral is "partial 16S ribosomal RNA". It matches the Rfam family "Bacterial small subunit ribosomal RNA", at positions 338 to 795 of the family's 1533-position model. The record is from RNAcentral.
CCUACGGGCGGCAGCAGUGAGGAAUAUUGGUCAAUGGGCGAGAGCCUGAACCAGCCAAGUAGCGUGAGGGAUGGCUGCCCUACGGGUUGUAAACUUCUUUUAUCAAGGAGUAAAGUGAGGCACGUGUGCCUUUUUGUGUGUAUUUUAUGAAUAAGCAUCGGCUAACUCCGUGCCAGCAGCCGCGGUAAUACGGAGGAUCCGAGCGUUAUCCGGAUUUAUUGGGUUUAAAGGGAGCGUAGAUGGGUUGUUAAGUCAGUUGUGAAAGUUUGCGGCUCAACCGUAAUAUUGCAAUUGAUACUGGCAGCCUUGAGUACAGGAGAGGUAGGCGGAAUGCGUGGUGUAGCGGUGAAAUGCUUAGAGAUCACGAAGAACUCCGAUUGCGAAGGCAGCCUACCAAACUGCUACUGACAUUGAUGCUCGAAAGUGUGGGUAGCAAACAGGAUUAGAUACCCGAGUAGUC